UACAGAGGUCCCAAGCGUUGUUCGGAUUUAUUGGGCGUAAAGGGUGCGUAGGCGGCGGAGUAAGUUGGGUGUGAAAUCCCGGGGCUCAACCUCGGAAUUGCAUUCAAUACUGCUUCGCUUGAGCACUGGAGAGGAGGCUGGAAUUUACGGUGUAGCAGUGAAAUGCGUAGAUAUCGUAAGGAAGGCCGGUGGCGAAAGCGAGCCUCUGGACAGUUGCUGACGCUGAUGCACGAAGGCCAGGGGAGCAAACGGG
RNAcentral lists this ribosomal RNA (253 nucleotides) under uncultured bacterium. RNAcentral's name for it is "partial 16S ribosomal RNA". It matches the Rfam family "Bacterial small subunit ribosomal RNA", at positions 524 to 776 of the family's 1533-position model. The record is from RNAcentral.